Small nuclear RNA from Fukomys damarensis (Damara mole-rat), 107 nucleotides. NCBI's taxonomy places the organism in Eukaryota, Metazoa, Chordata, Mammalia, Rodentia, Bathyergidae. The record is from Ensembl.
CUGCUCGCUUCAGCAGCACAUAUACUAAAAUUGGAAUGAUGCAGAGAAGAUUAGCGUGGCCCCUGUGCAAGGAUGGCAAGCAGAUUCGUGAAGUAUUCUAUAUUUUU